This 400-nucleotide small RNA is filed under the name Arabidopsis thaliana (thale cress). Its description in RNAcentral is "ATSL158810". Lineage: Eukaryota; Viridiplantae; Streptophyta; Magnoliopsida; Brassicales; Brassicaceae. The record is from RNAcentral.
UAGACAAUGUACGGGUUACUGAGGCAGCUGCGUAACUCGAGCUGCUAACUAACACGUAUCGUGCUUUGUCUGUUCAGUUCCUCCUGACUCCAGCUCCACUUCAGAACUCCCGCUCAUCAGAAGAAUGAGGCGUCCAAGUCUUCGUGUUCAACGAGCCAACGCCGGGGCUCCUGCUCGUGGUGAUGAUCUAUCGACCGCGAUGACUGCGGCUCGACACACUCUAGCUGUCUCCAGCGCAUCUGCCUCAGCAUCUCAUCCCUCAAUUCCUGAGAUCAAUACCGGGGCCUCCGCUGUAGCAGGUCGUUCUGAUUGUGCACCGUCCUCUCCGAAGAGAGCUUGGACCCAGCCGGAGGUGCAUCCGGCGGCUGAGUUGGUCGUGAGUGACUAGGGGGUCGCCUCU